This 73-nucleotide transfer RNA is filed under the name Camelus bactrianus (Bactrian camel). It matches the Rfam family "tRNA". From Rfam's summary of the family: Transfer RNA (tRNA) molecules are approximately 80 nucleotides in length. Their secondary structure includes four short double-helical elements and three loops (D, anti-codon, and T loops). The record is from Rfam by way of RNAcentral. Lineage: Eukaryota; Metazoa; Chordata; Mammalia; Artiodactyla; Camelidae. RNAcentral also lists the same sequence under 2 other names.
GAAGGUAUAGCUCAAGUGGCAGAGCACAUGUUUAGCAUGCAAGAAGUCCUGGGUUCAAUCCCCAGUACCUCCA